AAUGAACGCUGGCGGCGUGCCUAACACAUGCAAGUCGUACGAGAAAGGGGCUUCGGCCCUGAGUAGAGUGGCGCACGGGUGAGUAACGCGUGGGUAAUCUGCCCUUGGAUUUGGAAUAACUCCGCGAAAGUGGAGCUAAUACCGGAUAGUCUGGCUUUUUAACGAAGUCGGUAAAGGAUGCCUCUGCAUAUGCAUUCGUCCGAGGAUGAGCCCGCGUCUCAUUAGCUAGUUGGUAGGGUAAUGGCCUACCAAGGCAACGAUGAGUAGCUGGUCUGAGAGGAUGAUCAGCCACACUGGAACUGAAACACGGUCCAGACUCCUACGGGAGGCAGCAGUGGGGAAUAUUGCGCAAUGGGCGAAAGCCUGACGCAGCAACGCCGUGUGAGGGAUGAAGGCUUUCGGGUCGUAAACCUCUGUCGGAAGGGAAGAACGGGCAUUGGUCUAAUAGGCCUUUGUUUUGACGGUACCUUUAGAGGAAGCACCGGCUAACUCCGUG
Molecule: ribosomal RNA, 496 nt
Filed under: uncultured bacterium
Lineage: Bacteria
Description: bacterial SSU rRNA
Rfam family: Bacterial small subunit ribosomal RNA
Source: RNAcentral